CUGUUUGUCUUGCUUGCCUUCCUCCUCGUCCUCCUCUUCGGUCCAACCAAAGCCUGCCACUGGUGUUGUCGACGGUGGAGGAGUGCGUGCUUCACCCACAAUCCUCAUUAUCUCCUCAACACUCUGCAGGGAGUAGGUAGGGGUAUCUCUCUUAUAGUACUGCGCUUGUUGUGCUUCAGUUAGCUCCCUAGGCAAGUUCUUCAAGAACCAGGGGUGGUUCCUUAUUUCCCUUAUAGUAAUCCUCUGCAGAUAAGCAAAGUCAACAACCAAAAUAACUAUAAUACAAACAUUAAAUUUUCUUUUUAUCUUUUAAAACGUCCAGCAAUAUAAUAUGCUGUCGUUAGAUAUGCAUAUGCAAUUCUGAGAAGGUUUUCAGUUUACGCAAGUUCAGGUGUAA
This 397-nucleotide long non-coding RNA is filed under the name Musa acuminata (dwarf banana). RNAcentral describes it as "long non-coding RNA (MACU_LNC003508)". Lineage: Eukaryota; Viridiplantae; Streptophyta; Magnoliopsida; Zingiberales; Musaceae. The record is from RNAcentral.